RNAcentral lists this ribosomal RNA (402 nucleotides) under uncultured bacterium. RNAcentral's name for it is "bacterial SSU rRNA". It matches the Rfam family "Bacterial small subunit ribosomal RNA", at positions 355 to 774 of the family's 1533-position model. The record is from RNAcentral.
UGGGGAAUCUUGCACAAUGGGGGAAACCCUGAUGCAGCGACGCCGCGUGAGCGAUGAAGCCCUUCGGGGUGUAAAGCUCUUUCGGCAGGGUCGAAAGUGACGGUACCUGCAGAAGCAGCUGCGGCUAACUACGUGCCAGCAGCCGCGGUAAUACGUAGGCAGCGAGCGUUGUUCGGAGUUACUGGGCGUAAAGGGUGUGUAGGCGGUUCUCUAAGUUUGGUGUGAAAUCUCCCGGCUUAACCGGGAGGGUGCGCCGAAAACUGGGGAGCUAGAGUGCGGGAAGGGAGAGUGGAAUUCCUGGUGUAGCGGUGAAAUGCGUAGAUAUCAGGAGGAACACCGGUGGUGUAGACGGCUCUCUGGACCGUAACUGACGCUGAGACACGAAAGCGUGGGUAGCAAACA